ACGAACGCUGGCGGCAUGCCUAACACCUGCCAGUCGAACGAGACCUUCGGGUCUAGUGGCGCACGGGUGCGUAACGCGUGGGAACCUGCCCUUAGGUUCGGAAUAACUCCCCGAAAGGGGUGCUAAUACCGGAUAAUGUCUUCGGACCAAAGAUUUAUCGCCUUUGGAUGGGCCCGCGUUGGAUUAGCUAGUUGGUAGGGUAAAAGCUUACCAAGGCGACGAUCCAUAGCUGGUCUGAGAGGAUGAUCAGCCACACUGGGACUGAGACACGGCCCAGACUCCUACGGGAGGCAGCAGUGGGGAAUAUUGGACAAUGGGCGAAAGCCUGAUCCAGCAAUGCCGCGUGAGUGAUGAAGGCCUUAGGGUUGUAAAGCUCUUUUACCCGGGAUGAUAAUGACAGUACCGGGAGAAUAGGCUCCGGCUAACUCCGUG
RNAcentral lists this ribosomal RNA (432 nucleotides) under uncultured bacterium. RNAcentral's name for it is "partial 16S ribosomal RNA". It matches the Rfam family "Bacterial small subunit ribosomal RNA", at positions 29 to 507 of the family's 1533-position model. The record is from RNAcentral.